This 474-nucleotide ribosomal RNA is filed under the name uncultured bacterium. RNAcentral describes it as "SSU rRNA". It matches the Rfam family "Bacterial small subunit ribosomal RNA", at positions 26 to 518 of the family's 1533-position model. The record is from RNAcentral.
AGGACGAACGCUGGCGGCGUGCCUAACACAUGCAAGUCGAACGAGGUCCAUCCUUCGGGAGAAGACCUAGUGGCGAACGGGUGAGUAACACGUGAGGAACCUGCCCUGAAGACCGGGAUAACCCUCCGAAAGGAGAGCUAAUACCGGAUACCCCCAUCGGAUCGCAUGAUCUGAUGAGGAAAUGGAUUCCGCUUCAGGAGGGCCUCGCGGCCUAUCAGCUAGUUGGUGGGGUAACGGCCCACCAAGGCAUCGACGGGUAGCUGGUCUGAGAGGACGAUCAGCCACACUGGGACUGAGACACGGCCCAGACUCCUACGGGAGGCAGCAGUGGGGAAUCUUGCGCAAUGGGCGAAAGCCUGACGCAGCAACGCCGCGUGGGGGAUGAAGGCUCUCGGGUUGUAAACCCCUUUCAGCAGGGACGAAUCAAGACGGUACCUGCAGAAGAAGCCCGGCUAACUACGUGCCAGCAGCCGC